AGAGUUUGAUCCUGGCUCAGAUUGAACGCUGGCGGCAUGCCUUACACAUGCAAGUCGAACGGUAACAGGUCUUCGGAUGCUGACGAGUGGCGAACGGGUGAGUAAUACAUCGGAACGUGCCCGAUCGUGGGGGAUAACGCAGCGAAAGCUGUGCUAAUACCGCAUACGAUCUACGGAUGAAAGCGGGGGAUCGCAAGACCUCGCGCGGACGGAGCGGCCGAUGGCAGAUUAGGUAGUUGGUGGGAUAAAAGCUUACCAAGCCGACGAUCUGUAGCUGGUCUGAGAGGACGACCAGCCACACUGGGACUGAGACACGGCCCAGACUCCUACGGGAGGCAGCAGUGGGGAAUUUUGGACAAUGGGCGCAAGCCUGAUCCAGCCAUGCCGCGUGCAGGAUGAAGGCCUUCGGGUUGUAAACUGCUUUUGUACGGAACGAAAAAGCUCUCUCUAAUACAGGGGGUGAAUGACGGUACCGUAAGAAUAAGCACCGGCUAACUACGUGCCAGCAGCCGCGGUAAU
RNAcentral lists this ribosomal RNA (519 nucleotides) under uncultured bacterium. RNAcentral describes it as "bacterial SSU rRNA". It matches the Rfam family "Bacterial small subunit ribosomal RNA", at positions 8 to 524 of the family's 1533-position model. The record is from RNAcentral.